AAAAGAAAUUGAAAGUCGGUUUUCGUCCUUCUUUCUCUUAACGCGCAUAACUUUUUUCUUUUAUUUUAUUUUUCAAACCCCUACAAAACAUACUUAAAUCGUUGGAGAAUUUAC
This 114-nucleotide unclassified non-coding RNA is filed under the name Gracilariopsis sp. Lineage: Eukaryota; Rhodophyta; Florideophyceae; Gracilariales; Gracilariaceae. The record is from RNAcentral.